Molecule: RNA transcript, 1117 nt
Organism: Zea mays
Lineage: Eukaryota; Viridiplantae; Streptophyta; Magnoliopsida; Poales; Poaceae
Exons: 5
Source: RefSeq, marked validated
CACCGCCGCCCGCCGCGCCCCCACGCCCGCCUGCUGGUGCCCCCGCCGCGCCCCUCCCCGCACCGCCGGCACGCCCGCUUCGCCCCGGCCCGCAGACACCCCCGCCCGCGACGAGCUGUGCUGCUGGUGGCGGUGGAGCGCGGUGAGGAUGAGGCGCGCGUCACGCCUGGUGGCCGGGUCAUGGAGGCGCGCCAGCAGAGCCCUGAGCUCGCCGUAGGCGGCAUCGCCAGAGGGCUCGCACCGCUGCAGGGACGCCUUGACGAUGCUGCCGUCGUCAUCCGCCUCCACGCCCAUGCUGCCCAUCUGAUUCCGAUCUGAUUCCAGUCGCUGAGGUCCGCCGGAGCUAGCUAGAGCCUAUAGCUUGGCUUCUUGUUUGCUUCUUCCAGCCUGUACGCAAGGUUCUGUUUAUAUGGAUUUUUGUAUAUAAGAUUGCAUUGUUCUUUCGUAUGAUGCUGCAUAUGACGAGACGAUGUCUAGUCAGCACGGACCAGACUAUGACUGGAGGACCUCACCUAUUGAUCCUCAGGUUGUGUAUGCAAGUGGUGGAAAAGGUCAUGGAAGGUACACAAUAUUUGCUAACGUCAACGACUCGAUCCAGGUGAGAGUUCAGUGUGGAGGUUCGUCGAGAUCUGCUGCUCGUAGCUCCCGUCGCUCCAAUCAAGAUCUAGUAGAAGUGGAGCAACUGCAAGAAGAACAGGCGACAUCAGGAUUACUUGAGACAAUAAGCUGCGCAACAUGAAUACUAUGCUACACAGAUUCAACAACAACAAACACUCAUACAACAACUAGCACAGGCCCAAGGGAUACAUGUCCCGGUGUCCCCACCACCACCACCACCACCUCCCGUACAUUAUCCUUGGUCUUCACAUCCACCUACACCUACAUCUCCACCUACCGAACAUCAGACCCCUCCAGCUACCUUGCCGACACAUGAACGAGAAGACGGGUUAGACUUUGUCAAAACCCUCUUCGCUAGUGGAGGUAUCGACCAUCACUCAUCAUUGUACCCCAAUGGUGAUCGACGAUCGUGAGCUUCCAUGUUAUGUGUUGUAAUACUUGAGACUUUUAUUAUGACUAUGUAUGAGAUAUUGUCUCUUAUAAUGACUGGAUGAGAUGU